RNAcentral lists this ribosomal RNA (656 nucleotides) under uncultured fungus. RNAcentral's name for it is "SSU rRNA". It matches the Rfam family "Eukaryotic small subunit ribosomal RNA", at positions 415 to 1075 of the family's 1831-position model. The record is from RNAcentral. Lineage: Eukaryota; Fungi.
UCCAAGGAAGGCAGCAGGCGCGCAAAUUACCCAAUCCCGACACGGGGAGGUAGUGACAAUAAAUACUGAUACAGGGCUCUUUUGGGUCUUGUAAUUGGAAUGAGUACAAUUUAAAUCCCUUAACGAGGAACAAUUGGAGGGCAAGUCUGGUGCCAGCAGCCGCGGUAAUUCCAGCUCCAAUAGCGUAUAUUAAAGUUGUUGCAGUUAAAAAGCUCGUAGUUGAACCUUGGGCCUGGCUGGCCGGUCCGCCUCACCGCGUGUACUGGUCCGGCCGGGCCUUUCCUUCUGGGGAACCUCAUGCCCUUCACUGGGCGUGUUGGGGAACCAGGACUUUUACUUUGAAAAAAUUAGAGUGUUCAAAGCAGGCCUUUGCUCGAAUACAUUAGCAUGGAAUAAUAGAAUAGGACGUGUGGUUCUAUUUUGUUGGUUUCUAGGACCGCCGUAAUGAUUAAUAGGGAUAGUCGGGGGCAUCAGUAUUCAAUCGUCAGAGGUGAAAUUCUUGGAUUGAUUGAAGACUAACUACUGCGAAAGCAUUUGCCAAGGAUGUUUUCAUUAAUCAGUGAACGAAAGUUAGGGGAUCGAAGACGAUCAGAUACCGUCGUAGUCUUAACCAUAAACUAUGCCGACUAGGGAUCGGACGGUGUUAGUAUUUUGAC